RNAcentral lists this unclassified non-coding RNA (230 nucleotides) under Hevea brasiliensis (rubber tree). Lineage: Eukaryota; Viridiplantae; Streptophyta; Magnoliopsida; Malpighiales; Euphorbiaceae. The record is from RNAcentral.
CUCAUCGAGCGGUCUUAGAAUUUGUAGGCGCCAAAGAUUGUCCGCUACACGCUCGAAGUCAGACGUGGAAAAGUGAUGAUAGAUCGCUUUAGCCUCGCUUGGGAAUUUUUCAGAUAUGGGAAACUCCUUGCAAGAGUCCUCGGAAAAAUCAUGCACAUGCCAAGCAAGGCCCUGUGCGAUAGCGCCAUAGGCGUUUCGCUCAAGCUCAUUCAUAGCGGAUACUCUUAAAG